GACGAACGCUGGCGGCAUGCCUAACACAUGCAAGUCGAACGAGCACUUCGGGUAUAGUGGCGCACGGGUGCGUAACGCGUGGGAACCUGCCCUUAGGUUCGGACUAACUCCCCGAAAGGGGUGCUAAUACCGGAUAAUGUCUUCGGACCAAAGAUUUAUCGCCUUUGGAUGGACCCGCGUUGGAUUAGCUAGUUGGUAGGGUAAAAGCUUACCAAGGCGACGAUCCAUAGCUGGUUAGAGAGGAUGAUCAGCAACACUGGGACUGAGACACGGCCCAGACUCCUACGGGAUGCAGCAGUGGGGAAUAUUGGACAAUGGGCGAAAGCCUGAUCCAGCAAGGCCGCGUGAGUGAUGAAGGCCUUAGGGUUGUAAAGCUCUUUUACCCGGGAUGAUAAUGACAGUACCGGGAGAAUAAGCUCCGGCUAACUCCGUG
This 433-nucleotide ribosomal RNA is filed under the name uncultured bacterium. RNAcentral's name for it is "partial 16S ribosomal RNA". It matches the Rfam family "Bacterial small subunit ribosomal RNA", at positions 28 to 507 of the family's 1533-position model. The record is from RNAcentral.